Molecule: long non-coding RNA, 2220 nt
Organism: Ictalurus punctatus (channel catfish)
Lineage: Eukaryota; Metazoa; Chordata; Actinopteri; Siluriformes; Ictaluridae
Exons: 3
Source: RefSeq, a predicted model, not a curated record
AUUAGAUGUCAGGCUCCUCGUAAUAAUUGCACCACAAUCAACUUCGCUGUCUGAAGCGGAAUCGGUGUGUGUGGCAUUUUCGGCACAAUCACACACAUCGACAGCGGCUGGAAUACAAUUGGCUUCACUCGGCAUCGGGUUCCUAUAAGGUGCUUGAAGUGAACGUCAUGCUCUCUGUGAGGAAGCUGAUGCUUGAGCAUCAUUGGACUUUCCAACUGGACAAUGAUCCCAAUCUCAAAUUCCACCAAGACUCAGUUGCAGAAGUAGUCCUGGAAGAUUCUACGAUACUAGAGAUCCAGAUCCUUUCUGCCUCGGGAUGGAGCUCAAAUCUUCUUUAAUUCCAGACUGCUGGGACUACGGCUGCUCCUAACGGCAUACAGACUUCAUAUAAAUCCAUAAUGAACUUUUUCACACUAACUGUUUUUACCCAGAUGAGGAUGGGUUCCUUCUGAGUCGGGUUCCUCUCAAGGUUUCUUCCUCUUAAAACAUCUUAGGGAGUUUUUCCUUGCCACCGUCGCCACUCAGUGGCUUGCUCAGUUGGGAUAAAUUCGCACCUUUAAUAUCUGUAUACCAUGUUGAUAUUUCUGUAAAGCUACUUUGAGACAAUGUCUAUUGUAAAAAGCGCUAUACAAAUAAAAUUGAAUUGAAUUGAAUUGAAUUGAGCAAGGCCCUUUACCCUCAAAUGCUCAGCUAUAUAAAUUAGAGAAAUGCGAGUCACUCUGGAUAAGAGUGUCUGCCAAAAUACCAUAAAUGUAAGAUUCUACAGUGCCAUCACAGUCACAAGGUCUCUAACAUCCACCAGCUCCAUGAUGUUGUCAUGGAGAAGUGGAAGAGGACACGAGUGGCAACCUGUGAAGCUCUGGUGAACUCCAUGCCCCAGAGCGUUAAGGCAGUGCUGGAAAACAAUGGUGGCCACACAAAAUAUUGACGCCUUGGGCCCAAUUUGGACAUUUUCACUUAGGGGUGUACUCACAUUUGUUGCCAGCAGUUUAGAUAUUAAAGGCUGUGUGUUGAGUUAUUUUGAGGGAACAGCAAAUUUACACUGUUAUACAAGCUGUACAGUCACUACUUUACAUUGUAGCAAAGUGUCAUUUCUUCAGUGUUGUCACAUGAAAAGAUAUAAUCAAAUAUUUACAAAAAUCUGAGGGGUGUACUCACUUUUGUCAGAUACUAUAUGUCUGUUCUCUUUUAGCAUUGUCUACAAGACCUAACAUUCCUUAUUUCAUAAUAUUUUUACACAUCAUUGUAGACUAAGAACACACGUUUUCAAAACAAAAGCUGUUCAUUGUGCUGGAGGGGUCAGCUUAUGUGGAGAGUAAGAGGAGGGGCUCCUCAUGUGUGUGUGUGUGUGUGUGUGUGGGGGGGGGGGGUCAAGGACUCUCACACAAUUCUAGGGAUUCCAGAGUUAACCAUUCACAUUUACUUUAUUAUUAUUAUUAUUAUUAUUAUAUAAAAAAAAAAAAACAACACUCAUCCAAAGCUGAAUUCAUGCACCACUUUGACGGACUCAACAAUCCAAACAGCCCGUGACAGGUAACUGAAGCUGUUUUUUGUGACACGGCAGCUCAAGUGUUAAGUCGGACAGACUUGAGGUAUAGGGGGAGCAGUGCACUGUUUCUAAUGUUUCUCACAGUUCUAAAUUUUCUUCCCAGUAGCUGGGAAACACAAAACUGUCCUUUGCAGCCACAUGUGUGAAGUUAAAGAACUUUUUGUAAUCCAAAUAAAUAGCUUCUGCUAAAUAAAAUUUCCUCAUUUGUCGAUGCUUCCCCAAAUUGUUAUUUUCAAUAUAUCAAUUAUCUCAUAUCCAAAUCUCUUUGUAAACGUGUCCAAACACCACAAACAUGAUGUACCUCCCCUGAUUUGAUUACUGAAUGGAUCUUUAACAAAAUGUACAUAUGAAUUACAUGGUGUUAAAAUUAAACACAAUUCAAAACCCACCCUUAAUUGGUUUAUGUUUAUUUCAUAUUUAUUCAUUUAUAGCUACACUGUAAAAUCAUCUGCCCGCAGCUUGCUAUACACUGUAAACCUUAAUAAGUUGACUGAACUCCACUGAUUGAGUAAACUCGUUCCCUCAGUGUUCUUGAGUAAUGGGGUCUCCCAAAACUUGUAUAUUUAAGUUCACUUAACUUGGCACUCAUGUAGACUGUACUUAAAUUGUUAAGUUCACCAAACUUGGUGUUUAUAUAGUGUACUUAAACAAUUAAGUUAAUUUAACUUGGU